Arachis duranensis is the source of this 613-nucleotide long non-coding RNA. RefSeq lists it as uncharacterized. NCBI's taxonomy places the organism in Eukaryota, Viridiplantae, Streptophyta, Magnoliopsida, Fabales, Fabaceae. The transcript has 4 exons. The record is from RefSeq and is a predicted model, not a curated record.
CAUCGCUGUCGCUGUGAGCUCGUCAUCGUCGAAGCUUCCUGUGUGCUUGUCACAAGAACCCCUUUUCUCUGAGUGCGUCAUUGUCUUCCUCGAGCUCGUCACGACCCCGUCAUCUACAGUUUCGAUACAGACAAGUCGUAAAGUCAGCUAUAGUACUCUCUUGAAAAAUGGGAGGCAUGCAAGGGACUAUACCCUUUACACUGGGGCUCUUGGGACAGCAUUUUUGGUUUUCAGGGCUUAUCAAGUCACCAAGAAUGGCAGUGAUCUUAGCUUAUGCUCUAAUAUUGUUAAGGCUAGUGAUUCUGCUUCAGAAGAUUUAGUCGUGUGACAUUCAUCUGUGGUUGUGCUGGUGUUUGUGUUCUUGGUGUUGUCUGGUGCACAAAAAUGAAACUUGCACAACUGAACCGGCAAGUGCACCGGGUCGUCCAAGUAAUACCUCAGGGAGCUAUUAUAGGGCCGUUGAUAACUACAGUCAUGAUUGCUCUGAAGAAUUUAUAUGUUGAAUUUGUUCUUGAAGAACCUAAAGGAAAGGUUAUGCUGACAAGCCAUUUACAUUUGCUUUGUAUGUGUAGACAGCUGCAGUUCUACAUUUAAUUUAGUGUUUUUUAAUUAC